AGAGUUGGACAGGCGAUCGCGGCCGAUGGGACAGUGGCUAUUUAUGGCCAAACGACCCCAGCGUGCUGAGGAAAGUCCGGGCACCGCAGGGCAGGUUGCCGGGUAAAGGCCCGGUGGACGUGAGUCCGAGGAGAGUGCCACAGAAAUGCCAAACCACAGCGUGGCCGUGAGCCAAUGCUGUAAGGGUGCAACGGUGGUGUAAGAGACCACCGGCAG
This 216-nucleotide RNase P RNA is filed under the name Cyanobacteria bacterium HKST-UBA05. RNAcentral describes it as "partial RNase P RNA component class A". It matches the Rfam family "Bacterial RNase P class A", at positions 1 to 184 of the family's 367-position model. Rfam says of the family: Ribonuclease P (RNase P) is a ubiquitous endoribonuclease, found in archaea, bacteria and eukarya as well as chloroplasts and mitochondria. Its best characterised activity is the generation of mature 5'-ends of tRNAs by cleaving the 5'-leader elements of precursor-tRNAs. Cellular RNase Ps are ribonucleoproteins. The record is from RNAcentral. Lineage: Bacteria; Bacillati; Cyanobacteriota.